AUUUACAGGGUCCAGUUGCAAAAAGCCCCGACUUGUAAAGCGGGGUUUUUUGUUAUUUGACGGCAAAAUCACUGGGCUAUAAGGCCCUUUUUUU
Molecule: small RNA, 94 nt
Filed under: Leminorella grimontii
Lineage: Bacteria; Pseudomonadati; Pseudomonadota; Gammaproteobacteria; Enterobacterales; Budviciaceae
Description: Gammaprotebacteria rimP leader
Rfam family: Gammaprotebacteria rimP leader
Source: RNAcentral